RNAcentral lists this transfer RNA (57 nucleotides) under Dipodomys ordii (Ord's kangaroo rat). It matches the Rfam family "tRNA", at positions 8 to 63 of the family's 71-position model. From Rfam's summary of the family: Transfer RNA (tRNA) molecules are approximately 80 nucleotides in length. Their secondary structure includes four short double-helical elements and three loops (D, anti-codon, and T loops). Lineage: Eukaryota; Metazoa; Chordata; Mammalia; Rodentia; Heteromyidae. The record is from Rfam by way of RNAcentral.
UAGCUCAGUGGUAGAGUGCUUGCCUCCCAUGCAUGAGGCCUUGGGUUCGAUUCCUUA